This 292-nucleotide ribosomal RNA is filed under the name uncultured bacterium. RNAcentral describes it as "partial 16S ribosomal RNA". It matches the Rfam family "Bacterial small subunit ribosomal RNA", at positions 297 to 580 of the family's 1533-position model. The record is from RNAcentral.
AGGGUGAACGGCCACACUGGGACUGAGACACGGCCCAGACUCCUACGGGAGGCAGCAGUGGGGAAUAUUGCGCAAUGGGGGAAACCCUGACGCAGCGACGCCGCGUGAGCGAUGAAGGCCUUAGGGUUGUAAAGCUCUGUUUUAGGGGACGAAUGUCUAGAUCAGUAAUAUGGGUUUAGAAUGACGGUACCCUAAGAGGAAGCCCCGGCUAACUACGUGCCAGCAGCCGCGGUAAGACGUAGGGGGCGAGCGUUGUCCGGAAUUACUGGGCGUAAAGAGCACGUAGGCGGGA